This 570-nucleotide ribosomal RNA is filed under the name Triticum aestivum (bread wheat). RNAcentral's name for it is "partial small subunit ribosomal RNA". The record is from RNAcentral. Lineage: Eukaryota; Viridiplantae; Streptophyta; Magnoliopsida; Poales; Poaceae.
AUGCUCAUCCAAGGAACUGCGCGGAGACUACAUGCACUCAAAAACCCAUCGGUGAUGCUCAAGCCGGACAAAUCAAAAGCAUUCGACUCGAUACAGUGGUCCUUUGUCCUCGAGGUACCGGGAAGGAUGGAAUUUGGAGAGAGAUGGAUAUCGUGGAUAUGCGGGUUGUUGGCCACCUCCUCCACCAGAAUCAUGACAAAUGGCAUCCCCGGGAGACCAAUUCUGAGCUGCCAAGGGUUGCGGCAAGGAGCUCCCCUGUCACCCAUGAUCUUCAUCCUAUGCAUGGAGCCUCUACAUGGCCUCUUCAAGUAUGCAGCAUGCAAAAACCUACUCGCGCCACUUGCCAGAAGCGGAAUGCAAUCUAGAGUGUCCAUGUUCGCGGAUGACGUCAUGGUCUUCUUCAAGCCGACGGAGAUAGAAACGCGCACGUGCGGGGUAGUUCUUCAUCUAUUUGGGCAGGCGUCUGGGCUAACAGUGAACAUGAGCAAAAGUGCAGCCAUCCCAAUCCGGUGCUCCCAGGAAGAGAUGGACAUGGUAUUGAUACGUCUCCAACGUAUCUAUAAUUUUUGA